This 471-nucleotide ribosomal RNA is filed under the name uncultured bacterium. Its description in RNAcentral is "partial 16S ribosomal RNA". It matches the Rfam family "Bacterial small subunit ribosomal RNA", at positions 28 to 507 of the family's 1533-position model. The record is from RNAcentral.
GACGAACGCUGGCGGCGUGCUUAACACAUGCAAGUCGAACGAUGAAGCCUAGCUUGCUAGGUGGAUUAGUGGCGAACGGGUGAGUAAUACGUGAGUAACCUACCUUUAACUCUGGGAUAAGCCCGGGAAACUGGGUCUAAUACCGGAUACGACCAAUCUCCGCAUGGGGUGUUGGUGGAAAGCGUUAUGUAGUGGUUAUAGAUGGGCUCACGGCCUAUCAGCUUGUUGGUGAGGUAACGGCUCACCAAGGCGACGACGGGUAGCCGGCCUGAGAGGGUGACCGGCCACACUGGGACUGAGACACGGCCCAGACUCCUACGGGAGGCAGCAGUGGGGAAUAUUGCACAAUGGGCGCAAGCCUGAUGCAGCGAGGCCGCGUGAGGGAUGACGGCCUUCGGGUUGUAAACCUCUGUUAGCAGGGAAGAAGAGAGAUUGACGGUACCUGCAGAGAAAGCGCCGGCUAACUACGUG